Molecule: ribosomal RNA, 504 nt
Filed under: uncultured bacterium
Lineage: Bacteria
Description: bacterial SSU rRNA
Rfam family: Bacterial small subunit ribosomal RNA
Source: RNAcentral
UGCGGCCGCGUACUAAUCAAGUGAACGGUACAGGAAGCAGCUGCUGCUUCGCUACAGCGGACGGGUGAGUAUGUCUGGGAAACUGCCUGAUGGAGGGGGAUAACUACUGGAAACGGUAGCUAAUACCGCAUAACGUCGCAAGACCAAAGAGGGGGACCUUCGGGCCUCUUGCCAUCGGAUGUGCCCAGAUGGGAUUAGCUAGUAGGUGGGGUAACGGCUCACCUAGGCGACGAUCCCUAGCUGGUCUGAGAGGAUGACCAGCCACACUGGAACUGAGACACGGUCCAGACUCCUACGGGAGGCAGCAGUGGGGAAUAUUGCACAAUGGGCGCAAGCCUGAUGCAGCCAUGCCGCGUGUAUGAAGAAGGCCUUCGGGUUGUAAAGUACUUUCAGCGGGGAGGAAGGCGUUGUGGUUAAUAACCACAGCGAUUGACGUUACCCGCAGAAGAAGCACCGGCUAACUCGUGCCACAGCGCGGAAUACGAAGUCAAGCGUUAUCGGAUA